RNAcentral lists this transfer RNA (85 nucleotides) under Felis catus (domestic cat). It matches the Rfam family "tRNA". From Rfam's summary of the family: Transfer RNA (tRNA) molecules are approximately 80 nucleotides in length. Lineage: Eukaryota; Metazoa; Chordata; Mammalia; Carnivora; Felidae. The record is from Rfam by way of RNAcentral.
CCCUGGGUGGCUCAGUCGGUUGAGCGUCUGACUUUGGCUCAGGUCGUGAUCUCACGGUUCGUGGGUUUGAGCCCCAUGUCGGGCU